GGCCAGACUCCUAAGGGAGGCAGCAGUGAGGAAUAUUGGUCAAUGGCCGAGAGGCUGAACCAGCCAAGUCGCGUGAGGGAUGACGGCCCUACGGGUUGUAAACCUCUUUUGCCGGGGAGCAAAGAGCGGGACGCGUCCCGCCCCGAGAGUACCCGGAGAAAAAGCAUCGGCUAACUCCGUGCCAGCAGCCGCGGUAAUACGGAGGAUGCGAGCGUUAUCCGGAAUUACUGGGUGUAAAGGGAGCGUAGACGGUGAAGUAAGUCUGGAGUGAAAGGCGGGGGCCCAACCCCCGGACUGCUCUGGAAACUGUGUAGCUUGAGUGCAGGAGGGGUAAGCGGAAUUCCUAGUGUAGCGGUGAAAUGCGUAGAUAUUAGGAGGAACACCGGUGGCGAGGGCGGCUUACUGGACUGCAACUGACGUUGAGGCUCGAAGGCGUGGGGAGCAAACAGGAUUAGAUACCCCUGUA
This 466-nucleotide ribosomal RNA is filed under the name uncultured bacterium. RNAcentral describes it as "bacterial SSU rRNA". It matches the Rfam family "Bacterial small subunit ribosomal RNA", at positions 329 to 792 of the family's 1533-position model. The record is from RNAcentral.